This 323-nucleotide unclassified non-coding RNA is filed under the name uncultured fungus. RNAcentral's name for it is "sequence contains ITS1, 5.8S rRNA gene". The stretch from base 275 to 323 matches the Rfam family "5.8S ribosomal RNA", at positions 1 to 49 of the family's 154-position model. The record is from RNAcentral. Lineage: Eukaryota; Fungi.
UUUCCGUAGGUGAACCUGCGGAAGGAUCAUUACUGAGUGAUUUGGUGUACACCUUUCCCUUCUAGGGUAGGUGUCCGCCGGUUACCCGCCCUUAUGUCAUCUGCACGGACCCGCUUUUUCUGCCGACCCCCCAGGGUCCCAGAAGGGUGGGGACGAGAAUCUAUUUCCGCCGAGGUGGUGUGUCUCUCGCAAGAAAGGCACAUCCGCGGCGGGACCAUAGCCUUUUUACUCCUUAUGAGAAUCUGAAGUCUGAAUAAAAAAUAAAUUGAAGCAAGACUUUCAACAACGGAUCUCUGGGCUCUGGCAUCGAUGAAGAACGCAGC